This 440-nucleotide ribosomal RNA is filed under the name uncultured bacterium. RNAcentral describes it as "partial 16S ribosomal RNA". It matches the Rfam family "Bacterial small subunit ribosomal RNA", at positions 338 to 795 of the family's 1533-position model. The record is from RNAcentral.
CCUACGGGUGGCAGCAGUGGGGAAUAUUGCACAAUGGGGGAAACCCUGAUGCAGCGACGCCGCGUGAGUGAAGAAGUAUUUCGGUAUGGAAAGCUCUAUCAGCAGGGAAGCAAAUGACGGUACCUGUUUAAGAAGCCCCGUCUAACUACGUGCCAGCACCCGCGGUAAUACGUAGGGGGCCAGCGUUAUCCGGAUUUACUGGGUGUAAAGGGAGCGUAGACGGCAGCACAAGUCUGGAGUGAAAUGCCGGGGCUUAACCCCGGAACUGCUGUGGAAACUGUGCAGCUAGAGUGCAGGAGAGGUAAGUGGAAUGCCGAGUGUAGCGGUGAAAUGCGUAGAUAUUAGGAGGAACACCAGUGGCGAAGGCGGCUUACUGGACUGUAACUGACGUUGAGGCUCGAAAGCGUGGGGAGCAAACAGGAUUAGAUACCCGGGUAGUC